Molecule: unclassified non-coding RNA, 334 nt
Filed under: soil metagenome
Description: partial contains 5.8S ribosomal RNA, internal transcribed spacer 2, and large subunit ribosomal RNA
Rfam family: 5.8S ribosomal RNA (bases 1-120)
Source: RNAcentral
GAUGAAGAACGUAGCGAAAUGCGAUAAGUAAUGUGAAUUGCAGAAAUCAGUGAAUCAUCGAAUCUUUGAACGCACAUUGCGCCCGCUAGUAUUCUGGCGGGCAUGCCUGUUCGAGCGUCAUUUCAACCAUCAAGCCCUGCUUGUGUUGGGGUCCUGCGGCUGCCCGCAGGCCCUGAAAACCAGUGGCGGGCUCGCUAGUCACACCGAGCGCAGUAGCACAUCUCGCUCAGGGCGUGCGGCGGGUUCUUGCCGUAAAACACCCCCUUUUUACCAAGGUUGACCUCGGAUCAGGUAGGAAUACCCGCUGAACUUAAGCAUAUCAAUAAGCGGAGGA